CUCCCUCCCAGGGCUUCCUCCCCCAGGAGGGAUAGCAGGAAGGCAGGCAAGGACAGGACCUGAGUCCACACCUCGUCCGCGGUCACCUGCCUGACCAGGAGGAAGGGGAGGGGACAGGAGUGAUUCCACGGAGGUCACCUGGGAGCUGGGGCUGGGCGACCCCAGGGCUGGAUGACCUCAGGGCUGGGUGACCUCAGGGCUGGGUGAUCUCAGGGCUGGGUGACUUCAAGGCUGGGUGACCUCAGGGCUGGAUGACCUCAGGGCUGGGUGACCCCAGGGCUGACUAUUGGCGGAGCACCUGGGGUGGGUGCCAUGGGCACCUGAGAGGGAACUUUGACCUGAGCGGAGGUCAGAACCCUCCUCUGAGGAAGUGCCCCACCCCACUGAGCUCCCAGAGGCUGGUGGCAGGUUGAACAGGGGACUAUGCCAGCAGAGGGACUGCCUUCCAGAGACUUUGGAUCAUCACCACGAUGGGUUGAUUUUACAAAUUUAGCCACUGUCACCGGAGGCCUGGCUGAACUUCAGAGUUUCUUCUCCAGCGUCGGUUUCUUGAUUGCCUAAAGUUCCUUCCAGUCUAAUACUCUGGGAUUCUGGGCCAGUUUCUGGUCUGUCACAGCUGAAUAAGAGUGCAAGGGCAGGAGUGGAAUGUUCAGACUGCUCCAAGAGGACCUUGGCCCAGAUUCGGGCACACUCUGGUGUAACCUGCUUCGCUCGUUCGCGGGAUGGGUGGUGAGCAUGGAGCCCAUUUUCCCAUGUGGCAUUUCAGCAACAGGACUUGGCUAUUUGAAACUCCCCAGACAUAGCAGGAUUUAAAAAACGGAUCCCCUCUGGCUGGGCAUUUAGGUUGCUUUCACUUCUGGGCUGCUAUAAACAGCCUGCAGUUACUGCCUCAGGACGCCUUUCUGGAAGGUGAGUUUCUUGGCCAGGGGAUAUCGCACAUGCACUUUGGAGCCUCUGAGCCUUUGCACAGGCUGGUCCCUUUGCCUGGCUGCCCCUCUCCCAUUUAUCCCUAGAUUCUUCUGCAGCACACACACUGCCUCCUCUGAAGUGUCCUGGCUGCAUGUGCUGCUCUCCUUGCCCUGGGCUGCCCUCUUCUCCCUGGUGUCAUGAGUAUCUGCUGACCUUCUGCUUCUCCCAUGACAGAGUGCCUUCCUUCUCUUCCUUCUCUGCCUUGGCCUCCAGCACGUAGUAGGCGCCUAGGAAAUGUUUUCCAGCAGAACGAGCCAUCUCCUGGCUGGUUUAGCAGUGUGGGAUUGUGUGGUG
Molecule: long non-coding RNA, 1263 nt
Filed under: Homo sapiens (human)
Lineage: Eukaryota; Metazoa; Chordata; Mammalia; Primates; Hominidae
Description: HSALNT0406293
Source: RNAcentral